This 492-nucleotide ribosomal RNA is filed under the name uncultured bacterium. Its description in RNAcentral is "partial 16S ribosomal RNA". It matches the Rfam family "Bacterial small subunit ribosomal RNA", at positions 29 to 507 of the family's 1533-position model. The record is from RNAcentral.
AGUGAACGCUGGCGGUAGGCCUAACACAUGCAAGUCGAACGGCAGCACAGUAAGAGCUUGCUCUUACGGGUGGCGAGUGGCGGACGGGUGAGGAAUACAUCGGAAUCUACUUUUUCGUGGGGGAUAACGUAGGGAAACUUACGCUAAUACCGCAUACGACCUACGGGUGAAAGCAGGGGAUCUUCGGACCUUGCGCGAUUGAAUGAGCCGAUGUCGGAUUAGCUAGUUGGCGGGGUAAAGGCCCACCAAGGCGACGAUCCGUAGCUGGUCUGAGAGGAUGAUCAGCCACACUGGAACUGAGACACGGUCCAGACUCCUACGGGAGGCAGUAGUGGGGAAUAUUGGACAAAGGGCGCAAGCCUGAUCCAGCCAUACCGCGUGGGUGAAGAAGGCCUUCGGGUUGUAAAGCCCUUUUGUUGGGAAAGAAAAGCAGCAGGUUAAUACCCCGCUGUUCUGACGGUACCCAAAGAAUAAGCACCGGCUAACUUCGUG